GGAAACUCGGCUUAACCGAAGAAGUGCAUCGGAAACCGGGCGACUUGAGUGCAGAAGAGGACAGUGGAACUCCAUGUGUAGCGGUGGAAUGCGUAGAUAUAUGGAAGAACACCAGUGGCGAAGGCGGCUGUCUGGUCUGCAACUGACGCUGAGGCUCGAAAGCAUGGGUAGCGAACAGGAUUAGAUACCCUGGUAGUCCAUGCCGUAAACGAUGAGUGCUAGGUGUUGAUCGGGUUUCCGCCCUUCAGUGCCUGUUCUAACGCAUUAAUGCACUCCGCCUGGGGAGUACGACCGCAAGGUUGAAACUCAAAGGAAUUGACGGGGGCCCGCACAAGCGGUGAAGCAUGUGGUUUAAUUCGAAGCUACGCGAAGAACCUUACCAGGUCUUGACAUCUUGCGCUAACCUUAGAGAUAAGGCGUUCCCUUCGGGGACGUUAAUGACAGGUGGUGCAUGGUCGUCGUCAGCUCGUGUCGUGAGAUGUUGGGUUAAGUCCCGCAACGAGCGCAACCCUUGUUACUAGUUGCCAGCAUUAAGUUGGGGACUCUAGUGAGACUGCCGGUGACAAACCGGAGGAAGGUGGGGACGACGUCA
This 592-nucleotide ribosomal RNA is filed under the name Limosilactobacillus reuteri. RNAcentral describes it as "bacterial SSU rRNA". It matches the Rfam family "Bacterial small subunit ribosomal RNA", at positions 596 to 1187 of the family's 1533-position model. Lineage: Bacteria; Bacillati; Bacillota; Bacilli; Lactobacillales; Lactobacillaceae. The record is from RNAcentral.